This 879-nucleotide ribosomal RNA is filed under the name uncultured bacterium. RNAcentral's name for it is "bacterial SSU rRNA". It matches the Rfam family "Bacterial small subunit ribosomal RNA", at positions 21 to 881 of the family's 1533-position model. The record is from RNAcentral.
GGCUCAGAACGAACGCUGGCGGCGUGCCUAAUACAUGCAAGUCGUACGAGAAAGUCCGGCUUCGGUUGGACGAGUAAAGUGGCGAACGGGUGAAAACACGUGGAUAAUCUACCCGUACAUCUGGGAUAAUCCUUCGAAAGGAGGCCUAAUACCGGGUAACAUUCCUGAACGGCAUCGCUCGGGAAUCAAAGGCGGGGUAACCUGUCGUGUACGGAUGAGUCCGCGCCUCAUUAGCUUGUUGGCGGGGUAACGGCCCACCAAGGCUAUGAUGAGUAGCCGGCCUGAGAGGGUGAUCGGCCACACUGGGACUGAGAUACGGCCCAGACUCCUACGGGAGGCAGCAGUAGGGAAUAUUGCGCAAUGGACGAAAGUCUGACGCAGCAACGCCGCGUGGGUGAUGAAGUUUUUCGGAAUGUAAAACCCUGUCGGUGGGGAAGAAACGCAUGAGUAGUAACUGACUCGUGCCUGACGGUACCCACAAAGGAAGUCCCGGCUAACUCCGUGCCAGCAGCCGCGGUAAUACGGGGGGGACGAGCGUUGUUCGGAUUUACUGGGCGUAAAGGGCGCGUAGGCGGACCUUCAAGUCGGAUGUGAAAACCCCGGGCUUAACCCGGAGCCUGCAUUUGAUACUGUCGGUCUUGAGUACAGGAGAGGAGAGUGGAAUUCCAGGUGUAGCGGUGAAAUGCGUAGAUAUCUGGAAGAACACCAGUAGCGAAGGCGGCUCUCUGGACUGAUACUGACGCUGAAGCGCGAAGGCUUGGGGAGCAAACAGGAUUAGAUACCCUGGUAGUCCAAGCGGUAAACUAUGGGUACUAGGUGUCGGGGGUAUCGACCCCCCCGGUGCCGCAGCUAACGCAGUAAGUACCCCGCCUGGGGAGU